Molecule: long non-coding RNA, 290 nt
Filed under: Lupinus angustifolius (narrow-leaved blue lupine)
Lineage: Eukaryota; Viridiplantae; Streptophyta; Magnoliopsida; Fabales; Fabaceae
Description: long non-coding RNA (LANG_LNC001033)
Source: RNAcentral
AUAGCGAGAAUCCUCCCCGGCCAUCUCCGCCAGAACGGACAGUUGAGGAGCAUUCGCCUUAUAUGUCCUCAUCGUCAUGAACCUGCCAUCACAAGAGUCAUCAGACUCAGACCCAGACUCAGACUCAGACUCAGAACUAUCACUCAAAUUGAACCCAUACUUGGCACGUAGUGAGGCCAAGUAAUCGUCGGCGCCUCUCCAGUGAAACCCUGCACCUCCACCUCUGGGAGGAGGAGGGACGACGCUCAGCGGUUCAAGAACCUCCACCAAUGCAUAAGACGAGGGCAGCG